This 927-nucleotide ribosomal RNA is filed under the name uncultured marine bacterium. Its description in RNAcentral is "bacterial SSU rRNA". It matches the Rfam family "Bacterial small subunit ribosomal RNA", at positions 56 to 980 of the family's 1533-position model. The record is from RNAcentral.
UGCAAGUCGAGCGAGAAAGUAUCUUCGGAUAUGAGUAGAGCGGCGGACGGGUGAGUAACGCGUAGGAAUCUACCUAGUAGAAGGGGAUAGCCCGGGGAAACUCGGAUUAAUACCGUAUACCUCCUUAGGGAGAAAGAGGGCCUCUCUUGAAGCUCUCGCUAUUAGAUGAGCCUGCGUAAGAUUAGCUUGUUGGUAAGGUAAUGGCUUACCAAGGCUACGAUCUUUAGCUGGUCUGAGAGGACGAUCAGCCACAUUGGGACUGAGACACGGCCCAGACUCCUACGGGAGGCAGCAGUGGGGAAUAUUGGACAAUGGGCGCAAGCCUGAUCCAGCCAUACCGCGUGUGUGAAGAAGGCCUUCGGGUUGUAAAGCACUUUAAGCAGGGAGAAAAAGCAAUAAGUUAAUACCUUAUUGCCGUGAUGUUACCUGCAGAAUAAGCACCGGCUAAUUCCGUGCCAGCAGCCGCGGUAAUACGGAAGGUGCAAGCGUUAAUCGGAAUUACUGGGCGUAAAGCGCGCGUAGGUGGUUUGUUAAGUUGGAUGUGAAAGCCCUGGGCUCAACCUAGGAACUGCAUCCAAAACUAACUCACUAGAGUACGAUAGAGGGAGGUAGAAUUCAUAGUGUAGCGGUGGAAUGCGUAGAUAUUAUGAAGAAUACCAGUGGCGAAGGCGGCCUCCUGGAUCUGUACUGACACUAAGGUGCGAAAGCGUGGGUAGCGAACAGGAUUAGAUACCCUGGUAGUCCACGCCGUAAACGAUGACAACUAGCUGUUGGGAGACAAUGUCUUUCAGUGGCGCAGCUAACGUUUUAAGUUGUCCGCCUGGGGAGUACGGCCGCAAGGCUAAAACUCAAAUGAAUUGACGGGGACCCGCACAAGCGGUGGAGCAUGUGGUUUAAUUCGAUGCAACGCGAAAACCUUACCUACUC